CCUACGGGGGGCAGCAGUGGGGAAUAUUGGACAAUGGGCGAAAGCCUGAUCCAGCCAUGCCGCGUGUGUGAAGAAGGCCUUCGGGUUGUAAAGCACUUUCAGUGGGGAAGAAAGCCUUGGGGCUAAUACCCUCGAGGAAGGACAUCACCCACAGAAGAAGCACCGGCUAACUCCGUGCCAGCAGCCGCGGUAAUACGGAGGGUGCGAGCGUUAAUCGGAAUUACUGGGCGUAAAGCGCGCGUAGGCGGUCUGAUAAGCCGGUUGUGAAAGCCCCGGGCUCAACCUGGGAACGGCAUCCGGAACUGUCAGGCUAGAGUGCAGGAGAGGAAGGUAGAAUUCCCGGUGUAGAGGUGAAAUGCGUAGAGAUCGGGAGGAAUACCAGUGGCGAAGGCGGCCUUCUGGACUGACACUGACGCUGAGGUGCGAAAGCGUGGGUAGCAAACAGGAUUAGAUACCCUAUAGUC
Molecule: ribosomal RNA, 464 nt
Filed under: Vreelandella stevensii
Lineage: Bacteria; Pseudomonadati; Pseudomonadota; Gammaproteobacteria; Oceanospirillales; Halomonadaceae
Description: partial 16S ribosomal RNA
Rfam family: Bacterial small subunit ribosomal RNA
Source: RNAcentral